UUCCGUACACUUCAAGCUUAAGUAGGCUAUUCACAACAAAUAUGACCAACACUUUGAAGCAAAUAUAAACAAGCUCUAAUUUUUUAUUUCAAAAUAUCUGCAAUUGUUGCAUCUGUCAGUAUCUGUUGGUUCACUACACCCACAACAUCCAUCAACUGUGCAGAAAUGGCACGCAAACGGCAGCAGUCAACGUCUAGUGCAAAAACAACGAUUUUGUUGAGACCGCAAACUAGCAUGUGGCACAGUGAAUGCUAAGCCUUGUUGAGUUUUUACUUUGUGGACUUAACACUUGAUACUAGGCGUGUGAGUUGGGCAGCAGGAGGGCUGGGAGCCACUCAAACAGACAAUGACAAUUGCCUACAAAUAAAUACAGUCCAAAGUAUUACGAAGCGCGGCUUUCUAGCUGUUUUAUUACUUGCCACUAGAGUUGUCUGCCACAAGCCACUUAUGCAAAUUGAAUUUAUUAUUUUGCCACUUCAACAACGAGUGUGGCGCACGCAUUUCACGAAAAAUAUUUUUCUCCACUUUAUCAAUUGCGGCGCGUCCAGUACUUCAUUUGUUAGUGUCGCCGUUCACAGAGACCGACAUUCCGUUGCGGUGCGCGGGGCUGGGCACUUUUGUCACCCAUAAUGCGAACGCCAACACGCCAAAGACGCCGUUUGAAGUGCACAAUGUUGCAAUUGUCACUUCUUAUCGUCACUUCGUGUGCCAUACGAGACACGAAUGCAUGUCGGCAUGUCAGUAGGUGUAUCUGUGUGUGUUUGUGAAGAAACAUGCACAUUUGUUUGUGGCAGUGGCUUAAGCAAUCAUUUCUCACCAGACAUGUGUCCUGCAUAUGGUCGCGAGGCAUAGUUUGUGGCGUUGGAGAUUCGGAAUGUAAACAAAUAAAUAAGUGCGCACAUAUUUUAGAUAAGCAUAGUCUCGCUAUUUCUUCAUAUGCAAGCAAUUUUUUAUAUUUGUGUGUGAAUGAGGGCGUUGCAUGCUUCAGAUUAGCAACUAGACUGUUGUGGAUCUGUUUUGCACUAGUACGAAACUGCUAUAUUUCGGACUAAAAUCUGAAGGUUGACAACUGAAGACCUGCUAGCCAAAGACUGCACCGUAAAUGCGGACUAUCUGUUUGACUAGCUGGUAUAGUUUGUUCGAUUCGCUACUCUCUAAGGCUAAUAUUAGUAUUUUUAACUCAACCAAAUAUGAAACCAGUGUAACGAGGUCCAUUAUCUCCAAUAAUCAGCCACCUUAGACCCUUGAAUACCCUUUCUUGUUAUACAUUCUUGUUAUUUGUUAAGUUAGGUUAUCUUUCACCCAUAAAAUUCACUUUCAAGUAGCAAGGCAUCAUUUCCCUCAAUCGAGUGCCUCUUAUUGCUCUCAUUAACGGUAUAAACAAAUGCGUGUACUUAAUUCACUGAAGUUGUUAUUGUUGUACGCUUAACAAGCUACGCUCUCAAAGUUGAUUUGUUUAUUUAUUUUCGCUUACAUGUGGCAUUUUAAAGUGUUGCAUGCAGCUGCCUUAUGCCACUUAUGUUGAUGCAGUCAUUUCAGAGCAAAUGUUGUGUGUGGUUUUAUGCCAGCUAAUGGCGCUGUAGACAACGGUGUUUGUAUGUAAAGUAGCACGCAAUGGUGAGAAGUUGCGAAAUUUCGGCGUGUUACAAGAAACCGUGGAUUAAGUGUGAUUUAAUGUUGUUUGUUUCGAAAAAACAAACUGGCGUAGUGAGUUAAAAAAGUGUACGCUGCACAAUGAAAGAAGUGAUUAUAGAGUAUGUAUGUAUUUAUUUUUGAACUUUAUUUUCUAAUCCUAAAUACGAAAUUACAGAUCUCGGAAGAAUAUUCUGGUUUACAUAUAGUAUUGAUAAAGAGAACAUUAUUCUCGAUUUACAUGAAAGAAAUAUACAUAUGCAUAUAUUAAAUAGUACAAGUCAUCGCAGACACCCACAAGUAAUCCUAGGCAGCAGCUGAGUGAAAUGAUUCAGGUGAACAGCAAUUAAAAAUAAUUUCAAGAAAAUGUUCUAUGUCACUAUAACGCCGCUGUUCUAUUUUUAGGCACCUUACAUCUAGAUAUACAUGUAUAUGUGUUCAAUUUCAUAGUAAAUGACAAGUUAAAGCUACGCCGAGAAGACGCUUUCCACAUUCACUCAUCGCGCAACGAAUUUACCUUUGUGAACUUGUCUCUCUAGCACUCUGGUGGAUCCACACAUGUUUAUAUAAAUAUGUAUAUGGAGGAGUAUAAAUUCAUGCCGAUCUGCAAACCAUUAAAAAUAUAUUUAUGAGUGCUGCACUUACUGUCUGUCUCUCUGUUGAGUUCUGAGAAUAUUUUUUGGCGUUCGUGCAACGUGCAUUACAAAGGCAACAACAAAGCAGUGGCGUCCAGUCAUCCAUUAUUGUUGCACCAUCAAAGCUUUGUCUUUCACGCGCCACACGUCGUGUUGGCUUUGUCAGCUUUAUUGUCAAUAAGCCGCCAAAGUUCAUGCAAUGUUUUGCCGCUAAUUAAGCACCAAAAAUGAUACCUGCCUGCAUUUACAUGGUGCAACUUUAAUGAUCUACACAUAAAAUUUAAUGAGGCAGUCACGCCAUUGACACCACACCAAAAUCAAGCUUCUCAAUUAUGGUUAACAAAAGUUUUCAGCAAGCCGCGCUUAGCACGCUUAACGGUGACAACUGUGGGAAUCUCUAUUUAUCUACCAGGUAUUUAUGUUUGUAUAUUUCUUUAAUAUUAAAAAGUGAAAACUCUGCUCGUUAAUUUUUAUAGACAAUAAAUGUUUAACUUUCUAAAAUUA
Molecule: long non-coding RNA, 2771 nt
Organism: Zeugodacus cucurbitae (melon fly)
Lineage: Eukaryota; Metazoa; Arthropoda; Insecta; Diptera; Tephritidae
Exons: 3
Source: RefSeq, a predicted model, not a curated record